RNAcentral lists this ribosomal RNA (245 nucleotides) under uncultured bacterium. Its description in RNAcentral is "partial 16S ribosomal RNA". It matches the Rfam family "Bacterial small subunit ribosomal RNA", at positions 527 to 771 of the family's 1533-position model. The record is from RNAcentral.
GGAGGGUGCAAGCGUUAAUCGGAAUUACUGGGCGUAAAGCGCACGCAGGCGGUCAAUUAAGUCAGAUGUGAAAGCCCCGAGCUUAACUUGGGAAUUGCAUCUGAAACUGGUUGGCUAGAGUCUUGUAGAGGGGGGUAGAAUUCCAUGUGUAGCGGUGAAAUGCGUAGAGAUGUGGAGGAAUACCGGUGGCGAAGGCGGCCCCCUGGACAAAGACUGACGCUCAGGUGCGAAAGCGUGGGGAGCAA